UGGGGAAUCUUCGGCAAUGGGCGAAAGCCUGACCGAGCCAUGCCGCGUGAGUGACGAAGGCCCUAGGGUCGUAAAGCUCUUUCGCCAGGGAUGAUAAUGACAGUACCUGGUAAAGAAACCCCGGCUAACUCCGUGCCAGCAGCCGCGGUAAUACGGAGGGGGUUAGCGUUGUUCGGAAUUACUGGGCGUAAAGCGCGCGUAGGCGGACCGAAAAGUUGGGGGUGAAAUCCCGGGGCUCAACCCCGGAACUGCCUCCAAAACUGCCGGUCUAGAGUUCUGGAGAGGUGAGUGGAAUUCCGAGUGUAGAGGUGAAAUUCGUAGAUAUUCGGAGGAACACCAGUGGCGAAGGCGGCUCACUGGCCAGAUACUGACGCUGAGGUGCGAAAGUGUGGGGAGCAAACAGGAUUAGAUACCCCCGUAGUCC
This 424-nucleotide ribosomal RNA is filed under the name uncultured prokaryote. RNAcentral's name for it is "bacterial SSU rRNA". It matches the Rfam family "Bacterial small subunit ribosomal RNA", at positions 355 to 796 of the family's 1533-position model. The record is from RNAcentral.